GCAUCCGUAGCCGGCUCUGUAAGUUUUCGGUUAAAUCCAUGUGCUCAACGCAUGGGCUGCCGAAAAUACUGCAUAGCUAGGGAGUGGGAGAGGUAGACGGUACUCGGUAGGAAGGGGUAAAAUCCUUUGAUCUAUCGAUGACCACCUGUGGCGAAGGCGGUCUACCAGAACACGUUCGACGGUGAGGGAUGAAAGCUGGGGGAGCAAACCGGAUUAGAUACCCGGGUAGUCCCAGCUGUAAACGAUGCAGACUCGAUGAUGCAUUGGCAUAUAGCCAGUGCAGUGUCGCAGGGAAGCCGUUAAGUCUGCCGCCUGGGAAGUACGUACGCAAGUAUGAAACUUAAAGGAAUUGGCGGGGGAGCAC
This 364-nucleotide ribosomal RNA is filed under the name crenarchaeote SCGC AAA008-E15. Its description in RNAcentral is "SSU rRNA". It matches the Rfam family "Archaeal small subunit ribosomal RNA", at positions 515 to 879 of the family's 1478-position model. Lineage: Archaea; Thermoproteati; Thermoproteota. The record is from RNAcentral.